AUUGAACGCUGGCGGCAUGCCUUACACAUGCAAGUCGAACGGUAACGGGCCUUCGGGUGCCGACGAGUGGCGCACGGGGGAGUAAUACAUCGGAACGUGCCCGAUCGUGGGGGAUAACGAGGCGAAAGCUUUGCUAAUACCGCAUACGAUCUACGGAUGAAAGCAGGGGACCGCAAGGCCUUGCGCGGACGGAGCGGCCGAUGUCAGAUUAGGUAGUUGGUGGGAUAAAAGCUUACCAAGCCGACGAUCUGUAGCUGGUCUGAGAGGAUGAUCCGCCACACUGGGACUGAGACACGGCCCAGACUCCUACGGGAGGCAGCAGUGGGGAAUUUUGGACAAUGGGCGCAAGCCUGAUCCAGCCAUGCCGCGUGCAGGAUGAAGGCCUUCGGGUUGUAAACUGCUUUUGUACGGAACGAAAAGCCUUCUUUUAAUACAGGAGGGUCAUGACGGUACCGUAAGAAUAAGCACCGGCUAACUACGUG
RNAcentral lists this ribosomal RNA (482 nucleotides) under uncultured bacterium. RNAcentral describes it as "partial 16S ribosomal RNA". It matches the Rfam family "Bacterial small subunit ribosomal RNA", at positions 30 to 507 of the family's 1533-position model. The record is from RNAcentral.